This 378-nucleotide unclassified non-coding RNA is filed under the name plant metagenome. RNAcentral's name for it is "partial contains 5.8S ribosomal RNA, internal transcribed spacer 2, and large subunit ribosomal RNA". The stretch from base 1 to 105 matches the Rfam family "5.8S ribosomal RNA", at positions 50 to 154 of the family's 154-position model. The record is from RNAcentral.
GAAAUGCGAUAAGUAAUGUGAAUUGCAGAAUUCAGUGAAUCAUCGAAUCUUUGAACGCAGCUUGCGCUCCUUGGUAUUCCUUGGAGCAUGCCUGUUUGAGUAUCAUGAAAUCUUCAAAGUAAAUCUUUUGUUAACUCAAUUGGUUUCUACUUUGGUAUUGGAGGUCUUUGCAGCUUCACACCUGCUCCUCUUUGUUCAUUAGCUGGAUCUCAGUGUUAUGCUUGGUUCCACUCGGCGUGAUAAGUUAUCUAUCGCUGAGGACACUGUAAAAGGUGGCCAAGGUAAAUGCAGAUGAACCGCUUCUAAUAGUCCAUUGACUUGGACAAUACUUUUAUGAUCUGAUCUCAAAUCAGGUAGGACUACCCGCUGAACUUUAGC